AUACGUAGGGGGCGAGCGUUGUCCGGAAUGAUUGGGCGUAAAGGGCGCGUAGGCGGCGCGGUAAGUCUGGAGUGAAAGUCCUGCUUUCAAGGUGGGAAUUGCUUUGGAUACUGCCGCGCUUGAGUGCAGGAGAGGUUAUCGGAAUUCCCGGUGUAGCGGUGAAAUGCGUAGUGAUCGGGAGGAACACCAGUGGCGAAGGCGGGUAACUGGACUGCAACGUACGCUGAGGCGCGAAAGUGUGGGGAGCAAACAGGAUUAGAUACCCUGGUAGUCCACACUGUAAACGAUGAAUGCUAGGUGUAGGGGGUAUCGACCCCUUCUGUGCCGCAGUCAACACAAUAAGCAUUCCGCCUGGGGAGUACGGCCGCAAGGUUGAAACUCAAAGGAAUUGACGGGG
RNAcentral lists this ribosomal RNA (397 nucleotides) under uncultured bacterium. RNAcentral describes it as "partial 16S ribosomal RNA". It matches the Rfam family "Bacterial small subunit ribosomal RNA", at positions 523 to 918 of the family's 1533-position model. The record is from RNAcentral.